UAUGCAUUGGUAUUAGUAUGAAUUAUUACACUUUUAUACCAGGUUAAGAAAACAGAGAAUUUACUAUUUAAUAUUUCAUCUGUUUCCCUCGUUAACACAAUUUUUCCUCAACAGAUUCUUGUUCUGAGAUGAAAGCACAAGUUCUUCUUCCACCUAAACUGACGGUGAAUCCAUCGGUGAUCACAGACACAGACUCAGUCACAUUGGACUGUCAGCCUCCACCAUCUGUUUCUGUGUCUCAGUGUUAUUUCAGCACUGUAAGAGUAAGACCGGCCAUAAGCUUCUCUUGUCUGCAGACACUGACAGGAACUGAACUGCUCAAGAUGUCAAAUCAAAGUUCACCUGCUGAGGUUGAAGUGAAAUGCUCUUACCUUAAGGUGUCUCAAUCUCCUGAGAGUGAAACAACGUCCAUCACCAUCCGAAGUGAGUGAACACUCCUGCUAUGGACCAAUAUUACAAUCAUUUUGUUUAUUAUAACAUUUGAUAUGUGAUGAUUAAGUCUUUGGCAAUUAAACUCUACAGGAAGAUUUUUGUAAUAGAGGAUUGUUUACCCCGAGUAGGAGAAAGAUAAAUCCUCCAAUGGAGAAUGACUGUGCUGAAGAGUGAUGAAAAAAUGAAGCUGAUGUAUCUGUAUAGACUGGAUGAGGAUGAGUUGAAGGGGUGCACAUAAACACUGAAGGCUGAGAAAGAAUUGUACAGGAAAAGACUGCAGUUGCUGUAUUAUUGGAUAGAUGAGACCAGCUGAUGGAAACUGCUGAUAUCACAAUUUACAGCCCCAGAUAAUGACUGCAAGGAAAUAGACAUGAGCAUGUGUAUACUUGACUGAACUUUUGCAAGAGCUUCAUUAAGAUAUCUUUUUACAUUAUCAACACAAACAAAGUGACUCAAAAUAGGAAACGCAUUGAUGAUUUAAAAUGGGUAUCAAGAAUUACACUAUCUAAUACAUACAGCCUCGGGGCAUCCUCUACCAUUUUAAAUAUAUCAUCAGAAUGUUUUAAAUAAAUUGAAUUUUCAAUUAUUUAACCCAACAUAUACUUACAUUUUCAGCAUCUCUUCCACCUAAACUGACAGUGAAUCCACCAGUGAUCAACGAGAGAGACUCAGUCACAUUGAACUGUCAGACUCCACCAUCCUUUUCUGUGACUCAGUGUCAUUUCUACAUUUCAAGUGGAGGAACUGUCAGAGACUCCUCUUGUCUGCAGACACUGACAGGAACUGAACUGCUGAAGACGUCACCUCAGAGUUCACCUUCUGAGGUUGAAGUGAUGUGUUUUUAUACGGUAAAGCUUGGAGAAAAAGAUUCUCCAUCUCCAUACAGUGGCACUUCCCGCAUUACCAUACACGGUGAGUGAAUGCUUUUUUGAUUUGGUAUCAUAACAAGAAAAGGGGAGAAGUGAAUUUGUCUUUAGGGCUUAUAAACCAAAACAAGGAGAGAAAGACUAAUUUAAGAACUUCUGUUCUCAUAAAAUGCCGCCUGCUUUUUUAAUGUUAAUUGUAUUUUGAGCAACGAUAGAUUUAAU
This is a long non-coding RNA of Dicentrarchus labrax (European seabass), 1520 nucleotides long. NCBI's taxonomy places the organism in Eukaryota, Metazoa, Chordata, Actinopteri, Moronidae. The record is from Ensembl.